Nothobranchius furzeri (turquoise killifish) is the source of this 436-nucleotide long non-coding RNA. NCBI's taxonomy places the organism in Eukaryota, Metazoa, Chordata, Actinopteri, Cyprinodontiformes, Nothobranchiidae. The record is from Ensembl.
GAACGUAGUGGCUCUGAGUGGAGGAGAUGAAAAUGCAAAUAAUCACAACAUCCAACUGGAGAGUGAUUUCAGCAGAGGCACAGAAGCUGUUAAAGUCACCAGACCUGCUCCCAGCAGAGUCAUGAACAGGAACCAGAGGGAUGACCCAGGAGCCACGCACCAGACCAAGAAAAUAAACACCAACAGAGUGGACGGUGGACCAGCUGCCAGUGAUCAAAACGCUGAAGAUCAGCAGGACUCUACAAAACAACCACUGCUCUCAGAUCAGCGAGCUGCUGGCGAGGGCUUUGGCGUGGCGGGCGAAGCUGAUGUUUUGGUGGACAAGCCUGGCUUCGACCCGGACCAAGUCAAAGGGCACUCGAGCACGCGAGUAUGUAGUAACAUGUUUAUAACCUUUGAUGCGCUGUUAAAAUGUUUUCUUUGGGACCAAAUUUGA